UACAUGAGCAAAAUACAUAUUCCUGCAGAGAGACACACACACACACACACACACACACACACACACACACACACACACACACACACACACACACACACACACACACACACACACACACACACACACACACACACACACACACACACACACACACACAUCACGUUAGUACAAUCCGGGAGUACCUACUGUAAAAUAACACUCUGCAGGAGAUAAUCAGAAAUCAGAUGUCAGACUGGAGAUCACAGCCCUGUGUUGUUACAUAUCUGAUCAUCAUCUGGCAAUGUUCUGGCAAAGAGAUUUGCAGAGUGUCGGGUGAAGACGACGGGAGGGGUCGCAGUGGCAGCAAGGACUGGAGGAUAACAUGCAGGAGAUCUUGUCUCCAUUGUAGGAUGAUGUUCAUUACAAACCAGGAGAUUGGGUCUAUACUAAGCGGCAUGUCAAGAAAGCACUAGAACCACGCUUUGAUGGUCCAUUCCAGGGUCUGCUAAUAACCCCUACAGCAGUCAAGCUUGAGCUAAAAGACACCUGAAUACACGCCUCGUAAAGCUGGCUGUGAAGAUCAAGUCACCAUGAAUCCUUUUUACGUGUUAAUAACAAUACUUAGUUCAGAGAUAUUAAAGAACAGGUGACACCAGGGGGCAAAUGAUGUUCUCAAAAGAGGUUCAAGGUAUUAUCAAUGCCAUUAACAAGACGAUAAAACAUGAACUACAUCUAGAGAGAGUAAACUAUUCAGCUCGUCACGUUCAGAUGUAAACAAUUAUAGAAGCAGCAAAAUUUGCAGAAAUAGCAGCAGAAUAAAAGGGAAAACGUACAGCAUCAUUGGUGGGAUAUAUUUACAGGUAAAUCUCCAUCAUUCUCUAAAGCAUAUAACAUUCUGAUACAUCCAGUGAUAGGGAUAAUAGUACUAUUGAUUCUGCUCAUCCUUUGGAACUGUUAUCUAUCCUGUAGUUUCAGAAAAAUGAUUACUAGAAGUAUGACCCCAGUAAAAGCGCUUGUUGUGAGCACAAAGGAAGAAACAUGUAGCAAAUGCAAAAGACCUAACAUAGGAAACAGAAGUACAUGUAUGUAUUGCUCACAUCCCCUAAUGGUUUAAGUAGAAAUAGUAUUGUCAUAGUUUAAUCGGAGUAUGGGUUCCGAAUGAUCGGUUGACAUCCAUCCAUAUGUGGUUCUUAUGAUAACAUAUGAGGUGAUAUAAGGUAUCAGAAGUGCUCAGGUUAUUACUAUUACAAUAUGUGUAAGGCAGGAUAAGAGUAAGAUUUUAAUCAAAAGAGGGGUUUGUGAGAGUAAUAUUGAUUAAAAUGCUUUUGCUGUAUUAUUGUUUCACUAUAUUCUAAAGACUGUAUAUAUGUCCCUUUACAUAUAUUAUAAGGUCAUCGUUGCUUGUAUUGUAUGUGUGAGACAACAGGUGGUUUCCUUAAAAUACUUUACAAGAUAAGAAUGUGAAGCCAAGAGACAGAGAAUAACAGAAAUAGAGAUCUUCAGCAAUCGCUCAUUCUUUGACAAGACAGACUCCAGGAAUACUUUGGGACUGUCUUCUGAAUAUUACCUUCUAUGUCACUGAAACUUGUAAUAUAUAUAUGAUUAGCUAACUUUAUACUUCACUGUGAUUGGAGGGCAUGAAAAAGCCCAGUUCUCUUUUGGUAUAAAUAAAGGCUCUCUCUGUCACAGGACAGAGCAGUGUUAUACUGGCA
This is a long non-coding RNA of Pseudophryne corroboree (corroboree frog), 1691 nucleotides long. RefSeq lists it as uncharacterized. The record is from RefSeq and is a predicted model, not a curated record. NCBI's taxonomy places the organism in Eukaryota, Metazoa, Chordata, Amphibia, Anura, Myobatrachidae. The transcript has 3 exons.